Long non-coding RNA from Papaver somniferum (opium poppy), 791 nucleotides. RefSeq lists it as uncharacterized. NCBI's taxonomy places the organism in Eukaryota, Viridiplantae, Streptophyta, Magnoliopsida, Ranunculales, Papaveraceae. The record is from RefSeq and is a predicted model, not a curated record. The transcript is spliced from 6 exons.
UUGUCUCUCUCUGUAAAGGUGGCGACUUCAGCAAGGUGGAUGUUUGUAAUGGCGGUGCUAGAGCUGGAGGGUGGUGGUGGCGUGGUGCAGUAGGAUAAGCCUUGAUUUGGAGCUUUAUAAGCAUACUCAACACACCUUCGUCUGUGCAGGAGACGGUUCAAGUGUUGCAGGAGAUGCCAGAGGAUGAUAGGUUCAAAAAGGUUUCACAUACUAAGCAUGCGGAACACCUCAUUGAGCAGCAAAAAAGUCCUCUCAUGCAGGAAUCACUUAAUCUCUUGUAGGCUCCCGGGGAAGACUACUCUGUUGAACCCGGUGAAAGUUGAAGGUCCUUCUGUUCUCUUCUUGAUGUUGGAAAUCUAAAAAAAUAACUACAGGAUACCGAAUCUGUAGUGCUUUAAAGGGUGCAUUGGACGGAGGACUUGACAUUCCUCAAAGUGCCUCAUUUAUGGUACAUGUUCUGGAACAAGGUGGCAUUGGGAUCAACUUAUUGGAGACAUGACUACUCUGACCACCCCCCGCCCAGCCCUCGAUUGGUAUGCCGUGUGGAUAGAGAUAGUAGUGUUGUUCUAGUGUUGGGAAGGACACAAUAGGCGCUACCAUCCUGCAUUCCAUCUUCCAUUAAAAAAGACUUUGAAGCGUCAGCUGAUGUAAGUAGAUAUCUUCCCUUUCUAAUGCCUUUGCUUAUGGUUGUCAAAACUCAAAAUUAUCUUAGUCAGAUAAUUUUCCUUUAUCAUCUUUUAUUUCUCUUUGGAUUCUAUUUGUAUUGUCAGGUAGUAUUUCGUAAAUGGAUU